UCUUGUGUGCUGAUAGUGUCAGGGCAAGA
RNAcentral lists this non-coding RNA (29 nucleotides) under Rattus norvegicus (Norway rat). The record is from RNAcentral. Lineage: Eukaryota; Metazoa; Chordata; Mammalia; Rodentia; Muridae.